Molecule: ribosomal RNA, 253 nt
Filed under: uncultured bacterium
Lineage: Bacteria
Description: partial 16S ribosomal RNA
Rfam family: Bacterial small subunit ribosomal RNA
Source: RNAcentral
UACAGAGGUCUCAAGCGUUGUUCGGAUUCAUUGGGCGUAAAGGGUGCGUAGGCGGCGCGGUAAGUCGGGUGUGAAAUCUUGGAGCUUAACUCCGAAACUGCAUUCGAUACUGCCGUGCUUGAGGACUGGAGAGGAGACUGGAAUUUACGGUGUAGCGGUGAAAUGCGUAGAUAUCGUAAGGGAGACCAGUGGCGAAGGCGGGUCUCUGGACAGUUCCUGACGCUGAGGCACGAAGGUCAGGGGAGCAAACGGG